This 2901-nucleotide ribosomal RNA is filed under the name Escherichia coli DEC2B. RNAcentral describes it as "bacterial LSU rRNA". It matches the Rfam family "Bacterial large subunit ribosomal RNA". Lineage: Bacteria; Pseudomonadati; Pseudomonadota; Gammaproteobacteria; Enterobacterales; Enterobacteriaceae. The record is from RNAcentral.
UUAAGCGACUAAGCGUACACGGUGGAUGCCCUGGCAGUCAGAGGCGAUGAAGGACGUGCUAAUCUGCGAUAAGCGUCGGUGAGGUGAUAUGAACCGUUAUAACCGGCGAUUUCCGAAUGGGGAAACCCAGUGUGUUUCGACACACUAUCAUUAACUGAAUCCAUAGGUUAAUGAGGCGAACCGGGGGAACUGAAACAUCUAAGUACCCCGAGGAAAAGAAAUCAACCGAGAUUCCCCCAGUAGCGGCGAGCGAACGGGGAGGAGCCCAGAGCCUGAAUCAGUGUGUGUGUUAGUGGAAGCGUCUGGAAAGGCGCGCGAUACAGGGUGACAGCCCCGUACACAAAAAUGCACAUACUGUGAGCUCGAUGAGUAGGGCGGGACACGUGGUAUCCUGUCUGAAUAUGGGGGGACCAUCCUCCAAGGCUAAAUACUCCUGACUGACCGAUAGUGAACCAGUACCGUGAGGGAAAGGCGAAAAGAACCCCGGCGAGGGGAGUGAAAAAGAACCUGAAACCGUGUACGUACAAGCAGUGGGAGCCUCUUAAUGGGGUGACUGCGUACCUUUUGUAUAAUGGGUCAGCGACUUAUAUUCUGUAGCAAGGUUAACCGAAUAGGGGAGCCGAAGGGAAACCGAGUCUUAACUGGGCGUUAAGUUGCAGGGUAUAGACCGAAACCCGGUGAUCUAGCCAUGGGCAGGUUGAAGAUUGGGUAACACUAACUGGAGGACCGAACCGACUAAUGUUGAAAAAUUAGCGGAUGACUUGUGGCUGGGGGUGAAAGGCCAAUCAAACCGGGAGAUAGCUGGUUCUCCCCGAAAGCUAUUUAGGUAGCGCCUCGUGAAUUCAUCUCCGGGGGUAGAGCACUGUUUCGGCAAGGGGGUCAUCCCGACUUACCAACCCGAUGCAAACUGCGAAUACCGGAGAAUGUUAUCACGGGAGACACACGGCGGGUGCUAACGUCCGUCGUGAAGAGGGAAACAACCCAGACCGCCAGCUAAGGUCCCAAAGUCAUGGUUAAGUGGGAAACGAUGUGGGAAGGCCCAGACAGCCAGGAUGUUGGCUUAGAAGCAGCCAUCAUUUAAAGAAAGCGUAAUAGCUCACUGGUCGAGUCGGCCUGCGCGGAAGAUGUAACGGGGCUAAACCAUGCACCGAAGCUGCGGCAGCGACACUAUGUGUUGUUGGGUAGGGGAGCGUUCUGUAAGCCUGUGAAGGUGGCCUGUGAGGGUUGCUGGAGGUAUCAGAAGUGCGAAUGCUGACAUAAGUAACGAUAAAGCGGGUGAAAAGCCCGCUCGCCGGAAGACCAAGGGUUCCUGUCCAACGUUAAUCGGGGCAGGGUGAGUCGACCCCUAAGGCGAGGCCGAAAGGCGUAGUCGAUGGGAAACAGGUUAAUAUUCCUGUACUUGGUGUUACUGCGAAGGGGGGACGGAGAAGGCUAUGUUGGCCGGGCGACGGUUGUCCCGGUUUAAGCGUGUAGGCUGGUUUUCCAGGCAAAUCCGGAAAAUCAAGGCUGAGGCGUGAUGACGAGGCACUACGGUGCUGAAGCGACAAAUGCCCUGCUUCCAGGAAAAGCCUCUAAGCAUCAGGUAACAUCAAAUCGUACCCCAAACCGACACAGGUGGUCAGGUAGAGAAUACCAAGGCGCUUGAGAGAACUCGGGUGAAGGAACUAGGCAAAAUGGUGCCGUAACUUCGGGAGAAGGCACGCUGAUAUGUAGGUGAAGCGACUUGCUCGUGGAGCUGAAAUCAGUCGAAGAUACCAGCUGGCUGCAACUGUUUAUUAAAAACACAGCACUGUGCAAACACGAAAGUGGACGUAUACGGUGUGACGCCUGCCCGGUGCCGGAAGGUUAAUUGAUGGGGUUAGCGGUAACGCGAAGCUCUUGAUCGAAGCCCCGGUAAACGGCGGCCGUAACUAUAACGGUCCUAAGGUAGCGAAAUUCCUUGUCGGGUAAGUUCCGACCUGCACGAAUGGCGUAAUGAUGGCCAGGCUGUCUCCACCCGAGACUCAGUGAAAUUGAACUCGCUGUGAAGAUGCAGUGUACCCGCGGCAAGACGGAAAGACCCCGUGAACCUUUACUAUAGCUUGACACUGAACAUUGAGCCUUGAUGUGUAGGAUAGGUGGGAGGCUUUGAAGUGUGGACGCCAGUCUGCAUGGAGCCGGCCUUGAAAUACCACCCUUUAAUGUUUGAUGUUCUAACGUGGGCCCCUUACCGGGGUUGCGGACAGUGUCUGGUGGGUAGUUUGACUGGGGCGGUCUCCUCCUAAAGAGUAACGGAGGAGCACGAAGGUUGGCUAAUCCUGGUCGGACAUCAGGAGGUUAGUGCAAUGGCAUAAGCCAGCUUGACUGCGAGCGUGACGGCGCGAGCAGGUGCGAAAGCAGGUCAUAGUGAUCCGGUGGUUCUGAAUGGAAGGGCCAUCGCUCAACGGAUAAAAGGUACUCCGGGGAUAACAGGCUGAUACCGCCCAAGAGUUCAUAUCGACGGCGGUGUUUGGCACCUCGAUGUCGGCUCAUCACAUCCUGGGGCUGAAGUAGGUCCCAAGGGUAUGGCUGUUCGCCAUUUAAAGUGGUACGCGAGCUGGGUUUAGAACGUCGUGAGACAGUUCGGUCCCUAUCUGCCGUGGGCGCUGGAGAACUGAGGGGGGCUGCUCCUAGUACGAGAGGACCGGAGUGGACGCAUCACUGGUGUUCGGGUUGUCAUGCCAAUGGCACUGCCCGGUAGCUAAAUGCGGAAGAGAUAAGUGCUGAAAGCAUCUAAGCACGAAACUUGCCCCGAGAUGAGUUCUCCCUGACCCUUUAAGGGUCCUGAAGGAACGUUGAAGACGACGACGUUGAUAGGCCGGGUGUGUAAGCGCAGCGAUGCGUUGAGCUAACCGGUACUAAUGAACCGUGAGGCUUAACCUU